This 1017-nucleotide long non-coding RNA is filed under the name Durio zibethinus. Its description in RNAcentral is "long non-coding RNA (DZIB_LNC000486)". Lineage: Eukaryota; Viridiplantae; Streptophyta; Magnoliopsida; Malvales; Malvaceae. The record is from RNAcentral.
UGAUGAAUAAAAGACCAACAGGCGAAGUGAAUUAAAUUUAGGAAAAAAUUUUUUUUUUCUGAAAGACAUUUUUUAGAAAAAAAAUCAUAUUCAAUUUUUUGGAUAGCUUUCGAGAAAAAUAAUUUCUUGAGUUUAUUUCAAAUGAAAAUCAAUCUUCUUUUUCUCUCUCUCUAACUUUUAUCUCACUGUUAAAAUCAAUCAUCAAUUUUUCACAAAACUCCAACUUUUCUUGAUCAAAACCCACCAGAAGAGAGCACAAAGCCGUGGGUAUUUCAUUGCUUUUCAAAAUCUUGUUGGUCAACUUAAGCUUGCGGAAAAAUCUUUUAUGGGUAUUCAAAAUCAUGUAAUAUCUCUCUUCAGAUUUACUUCUGUCAGUGUUUUUAGUUUGAUUUGCAAAAGUAAAGCUUGUGGAGAAGUCUUUUAUGGGAGGCUUUUGAGCAUUCUUGUGGCUGUAAAGAGAAACUUACAAUCAAAGAAGGAUUUUGGUGAUUGUAGGAAAGAGGGUGUGGAGGAGAUAAGUUGUUGCCGGUUGCUUCAGUGGUGGCCGUCGUAGUUGGGUAACUUUCGGGUUUGUUAACGUUUGUAGAACGAUCUUAGAGAGCUCAAAGGGGAAGAAUCCAAAAAGGAUUUGGCGAAAAAGAAGGAAGAGAUGAGAGACGGGGAAAUUGUCUUCUGGAAGACUUGAUCAUUUUUUGAUAUCCAAACACAGAAAAAAUUAUGGAAAUUAACUUCCAAAAAUCAUUCUCCAUUCAUGUCUUUUUUUUUUCAACUCAUCAAUUUGAUGAUAUUCAUUUUGUCAAUAGCACGUUAAUCCAAUUGGUAACUAAAGAAACUCUCUUUUCUUAUCAAAUUAGAGAAUUCGAAUUGUAUGGGAAACACUUCGAAAAUAGAAUUUUAAAUAUAUCAAAUUGAUGUAAGGCAAUAAGUCUUUAAAAUCAUCUAAAAAGGGGUUAUCCUCAAAGUAAAUUUGAAAAUAUAAUUGAUCAUUUAACAAAAAAUAUUUAAAUAUUUAUUUUU